UUAAUGUCAUUCUCUCUCCAUAAAAUAAAAUGUUCAUUGUUUUACUUUAAUUAUCGUUUAUUUUAAAAUUCACAACAGUUACUAGUAUAGGCUUUGCUUUUUACCCCGAAAUAUCCUAAAUCCUGGUAUUGGUGUAUGUUUUUUAAUUGCGCGAUAAACUUAAGAUUUCCGUCUUUUUAAUGUCCAAGAUAUAUCAAGCUAUAUCUAGCCUUAAAUGUGCGAUUAUUUUGUAAAUAUUUAUUUGGUAAAGGAACUGACUCUUCUCAGCAAUGAAACUGUAAAUGCGUAUUUGAACAAAAAAUACUUUUUUAUUUAAUUGCCAUUCUCUGAUUUCUUUCUACCCUUGUAAUCGGUCAAUAUGUUUUUGAAUAGUCUGCAGAUAUCCCAAAAAAAUCUCUUUGGUCAGAACGAUGUGCAUGAAAAUGAUUACUUGAGCAAGCCUCAGAACCAGACUAUUAACAGCAUUAAACAGACAUCUGACCCCCUCGGUUGUUUCUUUUGUUAAUAUUUCUACAACUUCCCUACAUAUUUCAUAUACCUUAUAUAAAUCAGUUUACUAAAAACAAUUUCUAUUUUUUUUAUUGCUUACAUACGUAGACGAGCUCACGGCCCACUUGGUGUUAAGUGAUCACUAGAGCCCAUAGACAUCAACAACGUUAGUGCCGCCACCUACCCUGAGACAUGAGUUCUAAGGUCUCAGAUUUUACAGUACAACGGUUGCCCCAUCCUUCGAACAGAACCGCAUUACUGAUUCAGGGCAGAAAUGGGUGGUGGUACCUAUCCGUACGGGGUCACAAGAUGCCCUACCGCCAGUAAGUCCUAUUUUUAUGAAGAAAAAUAAAACUACAACAGGAUUUCUUUAUCAUAAUGAAUAGUUGUUUUUUAAUCAUAAAGAAAAAUAAAGACUGUGCUUAUAACAAUUUCUUACAAAACGUUUUGUUCUAUUUACGUUCUUUGUCACAAUCGCCAUUCAGUCACGAAGUUCUCGGAAAUGAAUCCAUUAUACUGCUUUGGAUUGUAAAAGGCGAGACAAAACCACUGGAUUCCAUAUCGCUGACAGGUUUCGUAGCAACGCGAUCUAUGCGUCAUAAUUUCGAAAAAAAUUAAGUCAUUGCCAACCUAGCCUACCCAGCUUAAAGAGUUUGAAUGACAAAGAAUAGAGUACCUUAUUACUUCUUUUUUUUAAGUAUGGUACUUAAUUGACUUCUUUUUUUUAAAGAAAUAGGAAAGGAAGGAAUUUUAUGACCUGGUAACUAAGACCUGAUCAGCUAUGUAGUUUCCGGCGCCCACAAUGAGAGGAUUCUCAUGUCGAGCCGCUUUAUCGAACUGGUGCAUUGAUGCCGACUGUAAAUACUUACUGAUGGCCUCUCGGUCCAGGUCAUCGUGCAGGUCGAUGUUCCUGACGAACAACGGGGACAGCGAUCAUAAAAGGCUUACUUAAAGGAUUUCAAAUAAUUAAAAAUGACGAGAAAAGCUAUAAAA
Molecule: long non-coding RNA, 1482 nt
Organism: Bombyx mori (domestic silkworm)
Lineage: Eukaryota; Metazoa; Arthropoda; Insecta; Lepidoptera; Bombycidae
Exons: 2
Source: RefSeq, a predicted model, not a curated record